UACGUAGGGUGCGAGCGUUAAUCGGAAUUACUGGGCGUAAAGUGUGCGCAGGCGGCCGAGCAAGUCGAGUGUGGAAGCCCCGAGCUUAACUUGGGAACUGCGCUCGAAACUACUUGGCUAGAGUGUGGCAGAGGGAGGUGGAAUUCCACGUGUAGCGGUGAAAUGCGUAGAGAUGUGGAGGAACACCGAUGGCGAAGGCAGCCUCCUGGGCCAACACUGACGCUCAUGCACGAAAGCGUGGGGAGCAAACAGG
This 253-nucleotide ribosomal RNA is filed under the name uncultured bacterium. RNAcentral's name for it is "partial 16S ribosomal RNA". It matches the Rfam family "Bacterial small subunit ribosomal RNA", at positions 524 to 776 of the family's 1533-position model. The record is from RNAcentral.